GUAUAAAUAAGCUAAAUUAAUAAGCUAGUAGGCUCAUAACCUAAAUAUAUAAAUAAUUUUAUUUUAUAUA
This 70-nucleotide transfer RNA is filed under the name Polistes jokahamae. Its description in RNAcentral is "tRNA-Met". Lineage: Eukaryota; Metazoa; Arthropoda; Insecta; Hymenoptera; Vespidae. The record is from RNAcentral.